GAUCUUAAUCUUCAUCUUACUUCUGUCUUGUAGUUGGAAAAGACCAGCAAGGUGGAGGAUAUGGAAAAUGCUCCAGUAGGAUAUAAAGACCAGAGAAGAAGCCAACAGACGGGAGACGAUGAAGAAAUAACAGCGCAGGGAUCAGGAGGUUUCCCCUCUCAACAUCUGCACACCACUGACAAAACAAAGGGAAGAGCAAGUAACGAUGGGCAAGUCGGAGCCCUCCUCCCCAAUCAGCAACAGAUGAACAAACCACAGAAAGGUGGCAUCAUUUUGGAAGAGGUCAACGGAAAUUACAACUAUAUCUGCCUGAGAAACACUUCCAGUGAGGAUAAAUUGAUGACAGGUUGGGAGCUAAAACUGAUCAAAGACAGAGAACUCUUCACAUACAAAUUUCAAGAAAACAUUACUCUGAAAGCUGGAAAAGGACUCACUUUAAAGCGAUUCACUAAAGGCAGAAGCCUGUAUCCUGACAACACUCACUUGAUGUGGAAGGACAUACCCAGCUGGAAUAGUGGAGACAAGAUGAAGAUCAUCCUCAUCAGCAACACUAAAGAAGAGCAGCAACUAAUGUGAUGCUUUUUACAAACAAGAUUACGUCAUGCAAAUUCACUAGAAUGAUUUUUGUUUUUGUUGAAGAAAAGAUCAUAAUGUUGUUAUAUUUUAUAUUUUUCACAUAAUUUGAAAUCAGUUUAACAUUUUUGCCAUUUAAUUAAAAACGUAUUAAAAAAGUAAAAUCUUCAAAAAGUUUGCUCUAUUCUUUGAGGUGCAACACAAAAGUAGUUCAACUCCAAUGACCUGGAUGAAGAUCACAUUUUUUUUUUUAAAGCUGAAGCUACAUGA
Haplochromis burtoni (Burton's mouthbrooder) is the source of this 843-nucleotide long non-coding RNA. RefSeq annotates it as prelamin-A/C. The record is from RefSeq and is a predicted model, not a curated record. The transcript has 5 exons. Lineage: Eukaryota; Metazoa; Chordata; Actinopteri; Cichliformes; Cichlidae.